Molecule: long non-coding RNA, 3427 nt
Filed under: Homo sapiens (human)
Lineage: Eukaryota; Metazoa; Chordata; Mammalia; Primates; Hominidae
Description: non-protein coding lnc-MYOD1-2:1
Source: RNAcentral
GGAGUGUUGCCCCAAGCACAGGUGCCCUGGGCCAGCCAGUCAAGAAUCCCCAGUGCUCUCCAGGCAGGCCCAGAUUCCUCUGUACUCUUGGACAAUGACAGUAUUAUCCUGUGCGGAGUCCCCCUGCCCCCCAGGGAGUGCAGAUGUGUUUGUUCAGACAUGCACACCAGCUAAUCCCAGGACACAAAACCUGUAAAACCCAUGCACUCCUGUGGGAUUGCCCCUGAGCUCCACAGUCUCUCCCCAGCCCUGCUUUUGAGAGCCACUUUGCCCUGGUCCCAGGUUUCAGGGGCCCAGACAGUUCUGGCUUGGACAGUCUCUGUGGCUGAGGAAGUAUUUGGGGCCCUCACAAGCUUGCCCUCUGGAGCUUGGAUGCCUGGAUCCCUCCUGCCUCCCCCGUCACCAACUGUGCUCCCAAGCCCUUCCCAAGCACUCACUUCCCGGUGGUGUUGGUGCUGUCCUGAUAUCCUGACCCCCGAGGCUCCAGCCUCAUCCCUCACCAGAACACUUCUCCCUCCAAAAGCUGGCGUGUGAGACCCCGGCUAUCCGCCACCAAGAGGAGUUGCGGUCUUUAGGGGCGUUGUCCCCACCUCUGCACCCCAGAGUUCUUCCCAUUCACCUUUUUUCCUGCUUGCAGCCAUGCACCUAGAUGGGCAUAGGGUUGGGGUGAGUUUGUGGGAGAGUGAGGGGGAGGCCAGGGGCAAGGAAGGUAAAUGUGGUGGCCCCACAGGAAUUGUGAGAGAUGAGAUGCAGCCCCCCAAGGCCUUUCCAGUCUCACUGUACCCCCAAGGCAGUCUAGUGGCCUCGCCAAAACCUGAGCUUCUCCAAUUCCACUUUUAAAACCAGAGUUAGGGGCUGUGUGUGGCACGCUGGGUUCUGAGGGCAUCCCUCCCGCCCCCCCAGGCCAGCCCCCAGUGGUGCCAGCAGCACCUGCCCCUCACCUCCACCUCUUGGUCUCGUCUGAAGCCUCAGUCUGUGUGUCUGUCCCAGGGACAAUCUGGUCUCCUCCUGUGUGCUGUGGCUGGCAUGGCCUCAGUGUCUGAGGGCUUGUCCUGGGAGGGGUAUCAAGAAUCCAAUUCUCACCUGGUUGUAGGACCUCUUGGGGGAUGCUAGGAGGGCGCCCUGGCACAGCCAGGGAUUGCCUAGGGCUGAGGGGCCCAGGAGAAGCUACUUCUCUCCCAGAAAGGGGCUCCCUCCUGCAUCUGCAGUCGGAUGCCCAGACCGCCCACUCUGGACAGCCCACAAUGCCUCCUCCGUCCUGCCAUGCCCAUUCGCAUGUGUCUUGUCCAUCUCCGCUCCUGUGAUGUGGGUCAGUCCUUUGUGGUGCCGCGUCCAGGGCUGCAGGGUCCCACGUCAGUGAGCAGUGGGUGGCCGGUGGAGGGGGUGGUGGUGGCCGGGCUCCCUUCCUGCCCAUGGCACCUAGAACAGCAGUGAGGUCUCAGAGAAGCCCCCGCCUGGGCUCCCUGGGAGCUAACCUUGCAGCCUCUGGGUUAUCUUUGGCAAAGGGGUCUAAAGUCCCCUAUCCCCAGCCCCUCUACUUCCCCUGCUGGGCAGCAGUGGCUGCCCAGUGAGUGGUGCUAUCCAUGGAGGGGGGAGGGAGCUGGGCAGCGCUGACUAGGCGGCGGGUGGGGCUAAGAGAGUUUCUGCAGGGACCCAGCUGCAGGGUCAGCAGCCUGUGGGCCCUGAGUGGGGUCUUUGUUGUCCUCAGGUGGGCUGUGGGGGAAGUAGCGGAGAAAUGAAGUGACGCCAGGGGCCAGGCAUGGGUGUUCUUUUCCGUGUUGUUCACAUUUUCUCUCUUUCUCUCUCUCUCCACUAAUCAUGUUUCUCUCUCUCUCCUCGUUUUGUUGCAUGACUUGUGCCGGUUCUCGUGAUUGUUCCCUGCUCGUGUCUCACAGACUGUCCCCAUUUAGCCUGAGACUUUUUUCCUGAGUCCCCAGCUGGGCAGAUCCCUCAGGGCUAAACCCAAGGAAAUGCCCAGCAACCCCCAACCCACCCCAGCCCCGCGUGCGCCCCUCCGGUGCCCGCAGCUGGUGUGAACAGUAAGUACUUUGGCGGUGCCUGGAGACCAGGGCAGAAAAGCCAGCUGUGCUGACUGAGGGCCCAGCCUCGGGUUCUCCUUGCUCCAAAGUUUAAAAAAAAAUGACCCUCUCGCAGAUGCUCAUCUCAGCCCAUUUCAAGCCUGGAAACCAUCUCUGAGACGCUGCCCAUGCUGCCAUUUCAUCACUGCAGGCCUGUGGGUCUAGUGGGGGCCUGGGGGCCCUGGGCUGGGGGAGGCAGGGCCCCCAGCCUCUGGAAAGCAGGUGGGAAUGGAGGCUCCUAGCCACUAUCUCAUCCAAAGGAUGGGGCAGGGGCGGGGGCUCACACCUUUGACCCUAUUCAUGGGUUCCCCAGAUUUAUACAGUUGGCCCCUCGUUGGUUUCUCUUUCUUCAAGCCACCCCUCUGGAGUUGGGGAGGGAGAAUGCCCCAGUUUCUGAAAGCAUCUUAAACCAUAGAUAGACGAACAGCCCAGGGGCCUGGGCCCCUUCACAGAGCAAGACUUAAGCUUCCCCACCCAAUCAUUAGUCCCUCCUCAAAGGUUAGGGUUGAGAGAAGCAGUAGGCCCUAGGGGUGUCCCGGGAAUCCCCCAGGAGGGAAAGGUGCCAGGCUAUCAUCCCUCCAGGGAUCCCUGAUGGAUGUUCCUUGUCCCCUGCCCAAAACCAUCCCGAACUUUGGGCCCUUUAGUGAUUGUGAGAGCUGGGAGCCCCCAGGGCCUGGGGGCUUGUGGACAGAACCAGUGGGCGGGGGCCCAGCAUUCAGAGCCAGAGAAGGGUCUCAGGCGGCACCAUCUCCACAGAGGCAGAGGCAGAGAGAAGGCACCCCCCUCUGACCCACCCCUCCCCAGGCAAGAACUGCAGGCUGUGGACACCUCCCCUGGCAGAGGAUGGCCAACAGAGACUCAGCAAGUCCUCACUCCCCUCCCAGAAGGAGACGCUGCCUGGGAGGACCCACUGUUCUCCCCUUGAGGAAAAUCCAUGCAGGGUGCUAUGGGCCUCAACCCCCACAUCGUCAUCCGCGUCCUCUCCAUACUGUUUCCCUCCCCUCUCCCAACACCCUCCUCCCUCAGCCCGGAGACCCUUGGAUGGAAGACUGGGCCAGCCAGAGUGGGAGGCAGGACCAGCGUGUCUGCGAGCACACGUGUGUGCCUGCAGACAUGCCCCAAGACCCCAGAGACGCCCCGGCCCCAGUCACAUGGUGUCAGAGUUACCUUGGCAACUGGCCUUUUUGGUUCAGAGUAAAUUGGGAAGUGAAGCCCCUGGGAUUUGUCGAGAAACGCACUGUACGUGAAAUGCUUUGCCAUCUUGUACGAAAGACUUUUUUUUUAAGUUCCAAAAUUAUGAUGGGAUUUUUUUGGAUUUGCUUUACGAAUAAAUCUGAUUGGUCCAUUUC